AAUGAGAUAAUAACAGAAUAUGACAGUAGCAUGAUAGACAUAUUAUAUCAUGUAUUUAAUGCACAAUAAAAAGAAACACAAUAUAAUUAUUUUAUUGUUUUAUGUGUUUGACAUAUAUUGUUUAUUGACAUCAUAUGAUAAAUAUUGCAUUUAAAAUAUAAAAUUAUUCUUUAAAAAAAUUACAUAGUUUUUUGAAAUUAGUUCCAAAUAAAUUUUGA
RNAcentral lists this long non-coding RNA (218 nucleotides) under Lathyrus oleraceus (garden pea). RNAcentral describes it as "Pisum sativum (pea) long non-coding RNA (PSAT_LNC022972)". Lineage: Eukaryota; Viridiplantae; Streptophyta; Magnoliopsida; Fabales; Fabaceae. The record is from RNAcentral.